This 29-nucleotide non-coding RNA is filed under the name Rattus norvegicus (Norway rat). The record is from RNAcentral. Lineage: Eukaryota; Metazoa; Chordata; Mammalia; Rodentia; Muridae.
UAUCCCAGAGACUUGUCAAGUUGGUACCA